Molecule: ribosomal RNA, 460 nt
Filed under: uncultured bacterium
Lineage: Bacteria
Description: partial 16S ribosomal RNA
Rfam family: Bacterial small subunit ribosomal RNA
Source: RNAcentral
CCUACGGGCGGCAGCAGUGAGGAAUAUUGGUCAAUGGACGAGAGUCUGAACCAGCCAAGUAGCGUGAAGGAUGACUGCCCUAUGGGUUGUAAACUUCUUUUAUAUGGGAAUAAAACGUUCCACGUGUGGGAUUUUGUAUGUACCAUAUGAAUAAGGAUCGGCUAACUCCGUGCCAGCAGCCGCGGUAAUACGGAGGAUCCGAGCGUUAUCCGGAUUUAUUGGGUUUAAAGGGAGCGUAGGUGGAUUGUUAAGUCAGUUGUGAAAGUUUGCGGCUCAACCGUAAAAUUGCAGUUGAAACUGGCAGUCUUGAGUACAGUUGAGGUGGGCGGAAUUCGUGGUGUAGCGGUGAAAUGCUUAGAUAUCACGAAGAACUCCGAUUGCGAAGGCAGUUCACUGGACUGCAACUGACACUGAGGCUCGAAAGUGUGGGUAUCAAACAGGAUUAGAUACCCUUGUAGUC